This 301-nucleotide ribosomal RNA is filed under the name uncultured bacterium. RNAcentral describes it as "partial 16S ribosomal RNA". It matches the Rfam family "Bacterial small subunit ribosomal RNA", at positions 509 to 807 of the family's 1533-position model. The record is from RNAcentral.
CAGCCGCCACGGUAAUACGUAGGGUGCGAGCGUUAAUCGGAAUUACUGGGCGUAAAGCGUGCGCAGGCGGUUGUGUAAGACAGGUGUGAAAUCCCCGGGCUUAACCUGGGAACUGCGCUUGUGACUGCACAGCUAGAGUAUGGCAGAGGGGGGUGGAAUUCCACGUGUAGCAGUGAAAUGCGUAGAGAUGUGGAGGAACACCGAUGGCGAAGGCAGCCCCCUGGGCCAAUACUGACGCUCAUGCGCGAAAGCGUGGGGAGCAAACAGGAUUAGAGACCCCUGUAGUCCCUGUCUCUUAUAC